This 449-nucleotide ribosomal RNA is filed under the name uncultured bacterium. RNAcentral describes it as "partial 16S ribosomal RNA". It matches the Rfam family "Bacterial small subunit ribosomal RNA", at positions 29 to 523 of the family's 1533-position model. The record is from RNAcentral.
AAUGAACGCUGGCGGCAUGCCUAACACAUGCAAGUCGAACGAAGGCUUCGGCCUUAGUGGCGCACGGGUGCGUAACGCGUGGGAAUCUGCCCUUGGGUUCGGAAUAACUCAGAGAAAUUUGAGCUAAUACCGGAUGAUGACGAAAGUCCAAAGAUUUAUCGCCCAAGGAUGAGCCCGCGUAGGAUUAGCUAGUUGGUGAGGUAAAGGCUCACCAAGGCGACGAUCCUUAGCUGGUCUGAGAGGAUGAUCAGCCACACUGGGACUGAGACACGGCCCAGACUCCUACGGGAGGCAGCAGUGGGGAAUAUUGGACAAUGGGCGAAAGCCUGAUCCAGCAAUGCCGCGUGAGUGAUGAAGGCCUUAGGGUUGUAAAGCUCUUUUACCCGGGAUGAUAAUGACAGUACCGGGAGAAUAAGCUCCGGCUAACUUCGUGCCAGCCGCCGCGGUAA